Molecule: long non-coding RNA, 983 nt
Organism: Serinus canaria (Common canary)
Lineage: Eukaryota; Metazoa; Chordata; Aves; Passeriformes; Fringillidae
Exons: 2
Source: RefSeq, a predicted model, not a curated record
UUACAUGAUAUCACUCCCUGUUCCAUGGCUUGUGGAUGGAUGAGUGUGGUGUUUGUGAGAGUCCCCAGGAUGAGGUGAGAGAUGAAUCUGACUCCAUGUCUCAGAAGGCUGAUUUAUUAUUAUAUUGUAUUGUAUUAUCUGCUAUACUAAAACUAUACUAAAGAAAGAGAGAGGAUGCAUCAGAAGCUUUAACAAGAAUGAAUAAUAAAAACCCGUGACUGACUCCUCAGAGUCUGACACAGCUGGACCAUGACUGGUCAUUAAUUAAAAACAAUUCACAUGCUGGAUAAACCCUCUCCAAAUCACAUUCCAGAGCAGCAAAACAGGGAGAAGCUGAAGCUUCCCAGCUUCCCAGGAGAAGAAAUCCUGGCAAAGGGAUUUUUCAGGAAAUAUCAUGAUCACAGCUUGCUUGGAAUCCCCACACAGGAACGUGCCAGAAACAUCAAUCAGCAAUGUUCAUAAAAUCAUCCCUUAUGUCCAUAAAACAAGUUGUUCUUCAUAAUUCAGUGGUCCAUGUGGAAAAUGGAUUCUCCAGUGUGGAGCUGCUCUUGUGUUUCUCUUAGGUUUGUUCAAAGCAGUGAUUUCCACUUGUAUCUCUAAUCAGGUGUUUGACUUUGAACUGACUGUUCAAAGAGGAGAUGAACUAUUCUGUCCUUCAACAGAAACUGGAGGAUCUGUGCAAUGAACGUGUCCAAAAAUCUCAAGGAAUACCCUUUCCAUGCAGAAUACUGAAGGGGCUUGUAACAUGCCUUUCACCAGACCUCUGGUGCCAUCUGCCAGUGAAGACAUGGGAUGUUUAUCCCACAACAUUUGGGGUUUUUGGAAGAAGGAAAGAGGAUUUUCUACAGCACCACUAUUCACUGGUUGCCUUCAGUCUUGCAUCAGCAGAAACCAGAUGUUGACAAACACACCCCACAGAUCCACUAUUUCAUCAGAGGUGUCUGCAUUUUAAAUAAAAUUAACUUUGAAAUGCAAAAACCUAA